This 465-nucleotide ribosomal RNA is filed under the name uncultured bacterium. RNAcentral's name for it is "partial 16S ribosomal RNA". It matches the Rfam family "Bacterial small subunit ribosomal RNA", at positions 338 to 795 of the family's 1533-position model. The record is from RNAcentral.
CCUACGGGAGGCAGCAGUAGGGAAUCUUCCACAAUGGGCGCAAGCCUGAUGGAGCAACACCGCGUGAGUGAAGAAGGGUUUCGGCUCGUAAAGCUCUGUUGUUGGAGAAGAACGUGCGUGAGAGUAACUGUUCACGCAGUGACGGUAUCCAACCAGAAAGUCACGGCUAACUACGUGCCAGCAGCCGCGGUAAAACGUAGGUGGGAAGCGUUAGCCGGGUUGUUUGGGCGGAAGGCGAGCGAAGGAGGUUGCUUAGGUCUGCUGCGACAGCCUUCGGCUUAACCGAAGAAGUGCAUCGGAAACCGGGCGACUUGAGUGCAGAAGAGGACAGUGGAACUCCAUUUGUAGCGGUGGAAUGCGUAGAUAUAUGGAAGAACACCAGUGGCGAAGGCGGCUGUCUGGUCUGCAACUGACGCUGAGGCUCGAAAGCAUGGGUAGCGAACAGGAUUAGAUACCCUGGUAGUC